CACGAAUGGAACAUGAACACAAAACGCUAUCUAGGAAAAUAUGGCGGGUGAGUCCAGAGCCCCCAAAAUUGAUGAUUCUACAGUCAAGCUAUAUAUAGGUGGAAUUGAUCCAGGAUGGUCUAGCGACAAAAUUAUAGAAAUAUUGUCAAAUCAUGGCAAUGUAAAGCGAGCUGACGUGGUAAAAAACUUUGCAUUUGCGUUUGUGGAUAAUCAAACAUCAGCAGAUAAUAUAAUCAAAGAGUUGAGUGGUACCACAAUUGAGGGCAACAGAAUUGUUAUCCAGAUUUCAAAAAAUAAACAAAAUCUUCCCGAUUGUGAUGAGCUGUGCUUUGAGUGUGGUGAACCCGGUCACUGGGCAAAGGAAUGCACCCAACGGAGAAGACGCUUGGCCAAACGGGGUGAGCCACCUAUGAGGGGCAGGCCACCUAUGAGAGGUGGACCACCAAGCAGGGGCGGACCACACAGUAGAGGAGGACCAAGAGAUUACCCAAGUGACAGACCUGGUUAUGACAGACUCUCACUAAUGCGUGCACAGGAUCCUUAUGCCAGACAAUAUGAAGAAAGAGCCAGAGCCAUGUAUUCUCGUGAUCCUUAUGCUCGCGAUCCUUACAGCAGAGAUCCAUAUGCAAGAGAUCCCUAUGGGAGAGAUCCUUACCCUUCUUAUGCAGCUACAUCUCGAUAUGACUACGAUAGGUAUGAUCCAACGCGAGCAUAUGCUUCAUCUGCAUACAGAGAGCGAAGUCCCACGUCUGCCUAUGCGGCGUACAGACGAGGGAGCUCUCCAACGAGAACAUAUGUAGCUGCAGAUCCAUAUGCAGCUAACCGAGAAAGAUUAGCAUACGGGCGUGCAGUUGUUGCGGAUAUGUAUGAACCCCGUCGACCUUUAGAUCCAUAUGAAUCUGCUCGUAGAGCUUUAGAUACCCUUGAUUCAUACGAAGCGUUGCGUCGAACCGAUCCAUAUAACGUUCCUGGUGCCAUGAGAGUUGCAGACCCAUAUCUCCCUCCUUCAAGAGAACGUUAUACAUCAGAUAUGGCAGUUGCUUCCAAAAGGUAAUAUGUCGGAAACUCAUAUUUGAUUCAAUUGUUGGUAUGAAAGGCAGUCAUUUGGAACAAGACCCGGAAUUAGAUAACUCCACACAGUUAUAGAAGGAUAUAUUAUCGGCCAUCCAAUGUAAUUUUGCAAUAAAGGUGAAUGAUUUGCAGAAAUUUGUUUACGUCCACGUCAGUUGUAGACAUGCUUAAACAGAGAAAGACUUUGAUGAAGCAAUUUAACCCUGCUGUUACUUUUGCUGCACAUGAUAUUUGGCUAGUCUUCAUGUAUUUUUUAGAUUUUCUUGCAUUUAUGUAACCAGUAAAUAAAGAAGGAACGAUAUUAAA
This is an RNA transcript of Hydractinia symbiolongicarpus, 1377 nucleotides long. It is a transcript of the gene named RNA-binding protein 4.1-like, with no coding region annotated. The record is from RefSeq and is a predicted model, not a curated record. The transcript has 8 exons. Lineage: Eukaryota; Metazoa; Cnidaria; Hydrozoa; Anthoathecata; Hydractiniidae.